GAUGAACGCUAGCGGCAGGCUUAAUACAUGCAAGUCGUGGGGCAGCAGGGGUAGCAAUACCCGCUGGCGACCGGCAAACGGGUGCGGAACACGUACGCAACCUUCCUUUAACUGGAGAAUAGCCCCUCGAAAGAGGGAUUAAUACUCCGUAACAUGUACAUGUGGCAUCACAAGUACAUUAUAGCUCCGGCGGUUAAAGAUGGGCGUGCGCCUGAUUAGAUAGUUGGCGGGGUAACGGCCCACCAAGUCUGCGAUCAGUAACUGGUGUGAGAGCACGACCAGUCACACGGGCACUGAGACACGGGCCCGACUCCUACGGGAGCAGCAGUAAGGAAUAUUGGUCAAUGGACGCAAGUCUGAACCAGCCAU
This 369-nucleotide ribosomal RNA is filed under the name uncultured bacterium. Its description in RNAcentral is "bacterial SSU rRNA". It matches the Rfam family "Bacterial small subunit ribosomal RNA", at positions 28 to 395 of the family's 1533-position model. The record is from RNAcentral.